RNAcentral lists this ribosomal RNA (280 nucleotides) under Bacillus sonorensis. RNAcentral's name for it is "partial 16S ribosomal RNA". It matches the Rfam family "Bacterial small subunit ribosomal RNA", at positions 74 to 345 of the family's 1533-position model. The record is from RNAcentral. Lineage: Bacteria; Bacillati; Bacillota; Bacilli; Caryophanales; Bacillaceae.
GGGAGCUUGCUCCCUGAUGUUAGCGGCGGACGGGUGAGUAACACGUGGGUAACCUGCCUGUAAGACUGGGAUAACUCCGGGAAACCGGGGCUAAUACCGGAUGCUUGAUUGAACCGCAUGGUUCAAUUAUAAAAGGUGGCUUUUAGCUACCACUUACAGAUGGACCCGCGGCGCAUUAGCUAGUUGGUGAGGUAACGGCUCACCAAGGCAACGAUGCGUAGCCGACCUGAGAGGGUGAUCGGCCACACUGGGACUGAGACACGGCCCAGACUCCUACGGG